CUUGUAUUCUCCAUCGUCGUGGAUUUUAAACAGCCACCAGCCCUGACAGAGACCAGUUCUGCGCAAUCACAUAUGAAAUCUAAUGUGAAACAACUGAACAUAUGAAAAUUAAGUUUUGUAUUAUGUUUGAAAAGAAGAGACUUUGACAAAAAAGAGUGCCCAAGAAAUGUUCGACCAGCUCCAGUCUCUGCUCACUGUGACAUUCAAAACCCUGGAUGACAUAAACAAGCGCUGUUAUUGGCCUGACAUGUCUGCAGACAUUAAAAAUGGGUGAGUUUAAUUAUGUGAAUCAUCCCUUGUGUUCAUACUGUACAUCUCCAUUGUUACUGAUCAAAACUGUUUCUUUACAAUAUAUUUUAGGUCAGACUGUGCUGAGAAAACAUUGUUCUCUGAAGAAUCAAAAUCAAUGUUUGUGGACCCUGUUGUGGAAAGUCAUCUUUGUAUGAAUAACACAAGGAAUAUUUUUUAUGGUUUUUUUUUUUUUUUUUUUUUUUUUUUAUGAACAUGAAUGUUUAUUAGCCAUGGUUUAUUGUGGGGAUGGAUUUAGUGGGUAAGCUCACACCAAUGAAUGAAGGCUACCGGUACAUCUGUGUAACAGCAGAUUACUUUAUAAAGUGGUAAAUACCCAUAAAUAAAAAAAUAAAAAUGUUCUCUUUGUCCAAAUGGCAUGAGCCUUUGUACAGUUGUCAACACUUUCUAGAUCUACAAAUAAAAAAAUAAAUUGUAAUAAUAUCUGUUUUUAUGUUAGUGUGAAAAAAAAAGUCACACUUGUGUGUUUCGGGGUCUCUGGAGACCCCACUUAGAAAAUGGACAAAAUUCAUCCUCAAAAUCAGCAACAACGCACAACACACAUAGACAGAAAUGAAGUGGCACACUUUAAAACAUCCACAAUGCAAAAUGAUCAUGCUCACACACACACACACACACACACACACACACUCACAGAGGAAUACAUUUGUGAGACUAUAACACAUGUUAUGGAAACAAAGUCAUGUGACUGCAGCUCAGGUAUAACUGUGACUUACAUUACACAGUUCACUCUGUUACAACAUCAUGGCGAAACAGUUCAGUCUUCAGGAGACUCUGGAUUAUAUUUUAGACUCUAGUGAUGGUGAAGAUGUGGCAGAUGCUGAAUCAGAGGACUUUGAUGAAGCUUCUGAAACAGAAGACCACCUAGAGCAGGACCAAGAUCACAACGAAACUGAUGAGGAAAAUUCAGAUGACGAGGAUGCUGAUGAGGAGCCAAACACUUACCUCUCUAAAAAUGGAAGAGUUCGCUGGACAUCAUCUCCACAAACAAUUCAAAGACAGCACUGCAGAUGACCCCAGGAAUAACCAGGUAUGCACGUUCUCACGCUGAAGACAUCAAAUCAACCUUUGAGCUAUUUUUACAGAGGAAAUUCAAAAAAUUGUUUUUGAAAUGUCAAAUGUCGAGGAGAGACAAGUUUUUGCUAAUGAGUGGACGGAUCUGGAUUUGGCAGACAUUCAGGCCUAUAUUGGUCUUGUCAUUCUCGCUGGGCUUUACUGCUCCAACAAUGAGGCCCAUGGCAGGUUUAUGUCAUUCAGAUUCCAGAAGUCAUGUCUUUGGAGACCUUCAGGAAAAUUUCAAGGGUCAUCAGGUCUGAUGAUAACGUGCAAAUGACAAAUUAGCAGCAAUCCGACUUGUGUGGAACAAAUGGGUUGAACGUCUGCCGAUGAUGUACAAUCCUGGCCCAAAUGUCACGGUUGAUGAGAGCCUGGUGCUGUUUAGAGGGCUCUGUCCAUUUAGACAGUACAUACCCAGUAAGCCUGCGAAAUACGGCAUCAAAAUUUGGGCGGCAUGCGAUUCGACAACAAGCUAUGCCUGGCAGGUGCAAGUUUAUACGGGCAAGUCUGUGAGUGGGCAGCAAGAAAAGAACCAGGGGAUGAGAGUUGUGCUUGAUGUCACCGAAGGCCUGCGGGGUCACACAGUCUUCCCAGGAGCUGCUAAAGAGGAGGCUUACAAUGGUCAGAACAAUUAGAAAUAAUAAGCCAGAACUCCCACCUGCCCUGCUUGCAACAAAAGACCGAGCUCGCUUUUAGUCAAUGUUUGCCUUUACAGAGACACAGUCCCUUGUUUCUUACUGUCCCAAAAAAGGUAAAACUGUGCUUCAGCUUAGCACACUGCACAGGGACAGCUCAGUAAGCAGCAGAGAUGACAGGAAGCCACUGAUGAUCCUGGAUUAUAACAAAUCCAACGGAGGAGUGGACAACCUGGAUAAGGUUUUUAGUUUUUUUUUUGAUUUUUAUUGAAAUGUGACUGUCAUAUUUAUUUUGCAAGCAAACAGCAGCAGAUGAAGUAAGUGUGUGUGUGUGUGUGUGUCUGUGUUUGUAAUACUGCAGAUGGUAGCCACUUACACCUGCAAACGAAAGACAGCUCGUUGGCCGAUGGUGCUGUUUUUCAACAUGCUUGAUGUCUCUGCACUGAAUUCCUACGUGCUACGGUCUGACAUCUGUCCAGAAUGGCACUCAGGCAAAAGCUUCAAGAGAAUGCUAUUUCUGGAGGAGCUUCUAACAGCUCUGGUGGCUCCCCUUAUGGAGAAUUGACAGCACCUUCCACGCACCCCAGCCUCUCUCUAUGUCCUGAAAAAAGCGAAAAGAUCUCUAGAGGUGGAAAAUGAAGCUUCCUCAUCACAUCCAGAAGCAACCCCCAGGAAGAGGAUAAGAUGCCACCUCCGUUCCCAUGAACAGGAUCGGAAAACCACAGUGAUGUGCAGAACCUGCGACAACCCCGUCUGUAGAAGUUUACCAUGCCUACUGCUGCAGUGCACUGACUCAUAAACCAGACCACCAGUUAUUGUUCCUAGGUGUUUGAUUUUUUCCUAUUUACUGUUUUUUAAUUUGUUACUACUUUAUUUGCUCAUUUGUUAUUGCCGUUCAUUUCAUUGUAUUUUGAUGUUCAUGUCGUGUAUUUGUAUACACAAUAUGUAAUAUAACUGUUCAUUUCUGUUCAUUUUUUUCUGUUUAUUUAGUAACUUAAGUGUAAAUUACAUUUGUAGAGUUAUGUGAAAAACAGAUGACUGAAAUAAACUCUAAAGACUC
Long non-coding RNA from Ctenopharyngodon idella (grass carp), 3060 nucleotides. RefSeq lists it as uncharacterized. The transcript is spliced from 2 exons. Lineage: Eukaryota; Metazoa; Chordata; Actinopteri; Cypriniformes; Xenocyprididae. The record is from RefSeq and is a predicted model, not a curated record.